RNAcentral lists this ribosomal RNA (840 nucleotides) under Bacillus aerius. RNAcentral's name for it is "bacterial SSU rRNA". It matches the Rfam family "Bacterial small subunit ribosomal RNA", at positions 207 to 1039 of the family's 1533-position model. Lineage: Bacteria; Bacillati; Bacillota; Bacilli; Caryophanales; Bacillaceae. The record is from RNAcentral.
GUUUCGGCCGUCACUUACAGAUGGACCGCGGCGCAUAGCUAGUUGGUGAGGUAACGGCUCACCAGGGCGACGAUGCGUAGCCGACCUGAGAGGGUGAUCGGCCACACUGGGAGUGAGACACGGCCCAGACUCCUACGGGAGGCAGCAGUAGGGAAUCUUCCGCAAUGGACGAAAGUCUGACGGAGCAACGCCGCGUGAGUGAUGAAGGUUUUCGGAUCGUAAAGCUCUGUUGUUAGGGAAGAACAAGUGCAAGAGUAACUGCUUGCACCUUGACGGUACCUAACCAGAAAGCCACGGCUAACUACGUGCCAGCAGCCGCGGUAAUACGUAGGUGGCAGCGUUGUCCGGAAUUAUUGGGCGUAAAGGGCUCGCAGGCGGUUUCUUAAGUCUGAUGUGAAAGCCCCCGGCUCAACCGGGGAGGGUCAUUGGAAACUGGGAAACUUGAGUGCAGAAGAGGAGAGUGGAAUUCCACGUGUAGCGGUGAAAUGCGUAGAGAUGUGGAGGAACACCAGUGGCGAAGGCGACUCUCUGGUCUGUAACUGACGCUGAGGAGCGAAAGCGUGGGGAGCGAACAGGAUUAGAUACCCUGGUAGUCCACGCCGUAAACGAUGAGUGCUAAGUGUUAGGGGGUUUCCGCCCCUUAGUGCUGCAGCUAACGCAUUAAGCACUCCGCCUGGGGAGUACGGUCGCAAGACUGAAACUCAAAGGAAUUGACGGGGGCCCGCACAAGCGGUGGAGCAUGUGGUUUAAUUCGAAGCAACGCGAAGAACCUUACCAGGUCUUGACAUCCUCUGACAACCCUAGAGAUAGGGCUUUCCCUUCGGGGACAGAGUGACAGGU